CAUUUUUUUAUGUUUUGGCUUCCAGAGCAAUAUGAGAAUUAGAUGCCAUUCUGUUUGGGCCAAGAUUAGAAUCAAAUUGAGCAGCAACAUGACCGUCGAAACAAUACAAAGAAGAGAAACCAAUUCUUCCAAAUGGCAUGGAGCUUAGCUUCACAGAAGACAUCUGCUUGGAUUACAAGGCUUCUCCUUAGAUUGCAUGAUUCAUGGAAUACUGGUGGUG
RNAcentral lists this unclassified non-coding RNA (220 nucleotides) under Hevea brasiliensis (rubber tree). Lineage: Eukaryota; Viridiplantae; Streptophyta; Magnoliopsida; Malpighiales; Euphorbiaceae. The record is from RNAcentral.